Amphimedon queenslandica is the source of this 295-nucleotide long non-coding RNA. RefSeq lists it as uncharacterized. The transcript has 2 exons. The record is from RefSeq and is a predicted model, not a curated record. NCBI's taxonomy places the organism in Eukaryota, Metazoa, Porifera, Demospongiae, Haplosclerida, Niphatidae.
AAGUUAUAACAAAAAAUCAAUAGGUCAGGUGAAAGUGAAUAGACUUUAGUUCAGUUGCAAUGGAGACAGGCGGUAAUACUGAAGAAUUAAGAUUCUCAUAUAACGAUAAUGCUAAGGUAUUGACCAUUGGAAGGCCAGGGGUUGUCAUUUCUACUGAUUUCACUGUAACUAUUAAUUAAUGAAGAGACUCUGUCUUUUUUGUCUUUUACUUUUCAGCUGGUAAUGGGUUCAUGCCAUCUUGAUAUUUAUUACCAUUAAUUUCUUGGAUUUAAUUAUACAAUCUAUUGCAAUUGUA